CAGGUGACAGGUGGUGCAUGGUUGUCGUCAGCUCGUGUCGUGAGAUGUUGGGUUAAGUCCCGCAACGAGCGCAACCCUCGACCUUAGUUGCCAGCAUUCAGUUGGGCACUCUAAGGUGACUGCCGGCUAAAAGUCGGAGGAAGGUGGGGAUGACGUCAAAUCAUCAUGCCCCUUAUGACCUGGGCUACACACGUGCUACAAUGGGCGGUACAAAGGGUCGCGAACCCGCGAGGGGGAGCCAAUCCCAAAAAGCCGCUCUCAGUUCGGAUUGCAGGCUGCAACUCGCCUGCAUGAAGCCGGAAUCGCUAGUAAUCGCGGAUCAGCAUGCCGCGGUGAAUACGUUCCCGGGCCUU
Molecule: ribosomal RNA, 353 nt
Filed under: uncultured Anoxybacillus sp.
Lineage: Bacteria; Bacillati; Bacillota; Bacilli; Caryophanales; Anoxybacillaceae
Description: bacterial SSU rRNA
Rfam family: Bacterial small subunit ribosomal RNA
Source: RNAcentral